AAGAGAAGAAGAGAGAACCCUACUAGCCGCCGCCAAGCUCUCCCUCUACUCUACCACCGGUCCGCCUACAACCACACAACAUCAGAAAUCUUUCUUACUUUUAUUCAGACUCCAAUUUCUUCUACAACCAUAUAAAGAGUACUAGGUUGCUCCUUGGUCACAAAUGAAAAUUCAAGGCCAAGUUCAAAGCAACGCCUCUUUCAAUCAUUUCUGCGAUUUCCUCUCCGGUAAAGCGUGUGUUUCUCGUUUGAAGGUCUGAUUAACUCGAGAAUUCUGUUCGGGUGUCCAUUCGCGGUUUGCAGCUUCCGCUCGAGGUUCGGGUUCCGUUUCUCGCUUGCCAAUUUAAUUUUUCAAUCAAAGUUCAGUUCUUCUAACUCUCUUUAUUUCAAAUGAAUUAAAGUUUGAUUGGUUAUGUGAUUCAUGUUCCUCUGUGUUGGUCUAUGUCUAAAAUGAAUAUAAUAUUUAAUUUCUUGCAUCUAUUAGGCUUGAAUUUUAUGAGAUUUUCCUAUGGUAUUAGGAGUAUAGAUUAGUUUAUGGGCCAAUAUUAUGCUUGGAUUCAUAGUUCCUUAAAUACUUUCCUAAUUCUGUAAUUCCUUUUAUUCUCGAGAUUUUUCUUUGUUGGAAAAGUUUGGAUGCAAAAGUUUGUUCAAUAAAUGGCCAAAAUAGCAUGUGAACAUUUGUAUACCAAGAUUCUUAAGCAAAAAUGAAAGAAGUUAAAAGGGAUAACAUCUUGAUGCUUGAAUUGUAUCGUGGGGGUCUGUUACUGAACAUAGAAAAGAGAAUUGAUAUUAACGAGACACUUUAUUAUUUUAUUGUUUCUAUUUGAUCACUAGGAGCAUGUUUAGGCCGAUCACACUCGUGUAGGCAAACUUUAGGUCUCGUCUUUUGUUUCAUUCGAGGUGAGAGGUCGUUCCCUUUAGUUUAUAUUCAGGGAAAUGCCCCGUAGAGUUUGUAUAUAUUAUUGUUAUCCGGGGUAUGCCCCGAAGUGAAUGUAACGGAGGCCGCAACUACACUGUGGAUGAAAUAUAGUGUAGGUUAGCUUAGGAUUUUACUUUUCAUUAUUUUUAUUUUUAUUUUUAUUUUAUUAGGUAGGGACGACCUCGAUCCUCUUCCAUGUUUGUUUUUGUUUGUGUGUUUUCACCUCAAUUUGAGUAUUCUUAAAAGCCGACUUGAUCAUGUACACAACCGUACUAGUUACGGGACUCGGGGAAUGCCUAACACCUUCUCCCCGAGUCAAAUGAACCCUCUUACCCGAAUCUCUGGUGCAGACUUAGUUUUGGAGUCCAAAGUGCUUUAAGAGGAAAAAUUAUUUUUUUAAAAAAUGGUGAACUAGCACACCGAAACCAAUGUCAGGUGGCGACUCUGAAAAGUCCUUUUGAACACAAAUUUUUGUCAUUUUCUAACCGAAAACCCUUUUUAGCUUUACAAAUCUUUUUAUUUAUUUUAAGAGGGUUAGUGAGGUAAAAAGGGGUGUGACAUCUCUCGCGACUCUGCUGGGGAGUUCCAGGUUCGAGCUAGUACUUGAUCUUGUUGGCUUUUUAGGAUGUUCGAUUGCGGUUUUUAUGUGUUUUGUUUGAUUUAUUUGAUUUUUAUUUUUGCUUAUGUCGUUUUAUUAUUUGCUAGUUGCUUAUAUGUUUACAAUUUUUUCUUUAUGUGUUACUACUUUAUAAAUUGUCAUCAUUUGCAUAACCCAUGGUCUUCUUUCUGCAACAAGUCUUCUGGAGUACGUUUGAGCGUACACGGCCUUUUUGUGAGUCACCCGUGUCUUUAGGGGGGUGGCGUGGGAGCGUGGAGUGGGCAGACAGCUAGAGCAGCCGCCAUCGACCACGUGCCGCCCCGAAUUGCCUUGUCUAGUGAACCCCAAAUUUAGGUCAGCAUGUAGGUCAUUCUUAUUUGCAUCAUGUCAUUUAGACCUACUAGGGCUCGGUCCCAGACACCGUGUCCCUUUUUGGGAUGCCUAUCCAAAUUUUGUCAAAAUGGGCCUGUGGCCCAAAAAGACAUUCAAUCAUCCCUAUGUGAUACAUGUUACAUCUUUGAGGGUAAAAAGGUCAUUUGGCGGACCGAUGUUUGGGAAAGAAGGGUGAAAAUGAAGCAAGUAGGGCCCAAUUAUAUUUUUCUUUUACAACUUUUUCAAGAAAAUACAAAAAAUGAAAAAAAUCCAAUUUUUUUUACAUUUUCCCAUCAUUUUCCAAAAAUCAAAAAAGAAAGAAAAAGAAAAUCCAAAAAAAAAAAGAUUUUACACUUUCCUAUCAUUUUCCAAAAAUUCAAAAAAAUAGGAAAAAUAAAAUCCAAAACUAUUUUACAUUUCCAUCAUUUUUCAAAAAGACAAUUUUUUUUUAAAUUAAUGUCAUAUUUAAAGCUUUCUCCCAUAUCCAAUCUUCCCGAACUACGCGAACCUAAUUCUGGUCUUUCAGGACGUGAUACGUAGGCAACCCACAUAGGGUCCGAUCUUCCUAGUGAGUCUUAGGUUCUUGGCUUUGCGACGUCUUAGCCAAAUUUUGCAUGUGUUAGCCACUUCUAGCCACAUCGACCAUUCUUGCAAAAUGGGGUCAUUUUCGCAAAAGUGGUUCAAUUACCCAUGUCUUAGCAUUUUGAGUCCACAACUAGGUGUCAUAUUACUUUAUGGUCCCUCCUUUUUGAGUUUGCAUCUUUAUCCACUUCUUGUCAUAUCGGUCGUUUUUGCAAAAUUGGUCACUUCUACAAAUUAAUUUUGGGCCAUGAUUAUUGGGAGUUCGAAUCCAUAUAAGCCCUAGUGAGGUAUGUCCAUGUCUUUGAGGUCAUCUUUGUUGAGUUUGCGCUAAUAGCCACAUUUUGGCCAAGUAGGUCAUUUUGCAAAAAUAGCCUUAAUCAUGCCUUGCAUGUGUCCAAUAGAAGGUGUCGUGGCAUCACAUGUGUCUUGAGUCACUAACUCUAUUUAAUCUUAUUUUUCUCAUUCAGGUAUGGAUCAAUUUGCUAGACUUUGAGCAUGACAAAUACCCCAGGACCAUCCUAGUCAAGACCAUUGCAUGCAUGAGCUGCUUGAGGAAACUUUUUAUAUUUUAGUCUAUAUUAUGUUGUUUUUUAAUUUUUAUUCUUGUACAGUAGUAUCGAGUCUGUUAGUCUAGUUAAGAUUGUCGAGUCUUUUGUUAUAGUACUUCCUGUUUUGUAUUUGAAA
RNAcentral lists this long non-coding RNA (3154 nucleotides) under Nicotiana tabacum (common tobacco). RNAcentral's name for it is "long non-coding RNA (NTAB_LNC001865)". Lineage: Eukaryota; Viridiplantae; Streptophyta; Magnoliopsida; Solanales; Solanaceae. The record is from RNAcentral.